This is a long non-coding RNA of Maniola jurtina (meadow brown), 155 nucleotides long. RefSeq lists it as uncharacterized. The record is from RefSeq and is a predicted model, not a curated record. Lineage: Eukaryota; Metazoa; Arthropoda; Insecta; Lepidoptera; Nymphalidae. The transcript has 3 exons.
UCUUUACAGAGUGUGUCCUGCCUGUGAUGACGUAUGACGCUGAAACGUGGACACUGAUAGUUGGCCUUGUCCACUAGUUCAAAGUCGCUCAGUGUGCUAUGGAGCGGGAUAUGUUGGGUGUCUCUCUGAGGGACCAAAUCAGUAAGAGCGGUUGU